This is a long non-coding RNA of Lolium rigidum, 567 nucleotides long. RefSeq lists it as uncharacterized. The record is from RefSeq and is a predicted model, not a curated record. NCBI's taxonomy places the organism in Eukaryota, Viridiplantae, Streptophyta, Magnoliopsida, Poales, Poaceae. The transcript is spliced from 3 exons.
CCGGCGGCCGCCGCGCAUCGGCGACCUCGGCCUCCCCGCGCAUCCUCCUGGCGGAGCCACCACCGUUGCUCGUCGUCUUCCGAGAGCUCGCCGGCGCAGUUGAGCGGCGAGCAGACGGGGCUGGCCGGCGGUGAGGAGGUGGUCGCCGGGCAACGCCGCUGCGGCGAUGCCACGUCAAGAAUCGCGGCAGGAGUUUCUCCCUAUUUUGCUCAGAGGUAGGUUAUGCCAUGAGCAGCUAACCGCCUUCUCCGCCCUCCUCCCAUCCACGAGUGGCCGUCGAUCUAGAGCUACACACUGGUUUGUCGUUUCUCUGUUGGUUUGCUUGAGUUGUGUUUUGGUUCUGCGUGCUGGCGUUUCAUAGGUGUGCAGCCAAAGCUGCAAUCAUGUGUCGGGCGGGAGCAGGUGCUAGCGCGCCUCCGCGAGAUGGGCGGUGGCGUGGAGGAUGACCGACGAGCGCGACGGAGGCGGACGCAGUUGACCUCCUUCUCUCCCUGUGGGAGCAUCAUCUUCUCUUUAUUUUUACUGACUCCUUCUGAUUCCUUCCUCCCAAAUUUUAUUUUAUUUCAC